CUAUGCGCCUUGCCAGCCCGCUCAGGUGUGCCAGCAGCCGCGGUAAUACGGAGGAUGCGAGCGUUAUCCGGAUUUAUUGGGUUUAAAGGGUGCGCAGGCGGAUUUUAAGUCAGCGGUCAAAUCGUGGGGCUCAACCCCAUCCAGCCGUUGAAACUGGGGAUCUAGAGUGUGCGAGAGGUAUGCGGAAUGCGUGGUGUAGCGGUGAAAUGCAUAGAUAUCACGCAGAACCCCGAUUGCGAAGGCAGCAUACCGGUGCACAACUGACGCUCAGGCACGAAAGCGUGGGUAUCGAACAGG
This 297-nucleotide ribosomal RNA is filed under the name uncultured bacterium. RNAcentral describes it as "partial 16S ribosomal RNA". It matches the Rfam family "Bacterial small subunit ribosomal RNA", at positions 475 to 776 of the family's 1533-position model. The record is from RNAcentral.